Oncorhynchus tshawytscha (Chinook salmon) is the source of this 3612-nucleotide long non-coding RNA. The record is from Ensembl. Lineage: Eukaryota; Metazoa; Chordata; Actinopteri; Salmoniformes; Salmonidae.
UCCUUUAACAGUCUUUGUUUAAUACUCCAAUGUCACUGGUCAAAUGAGUUUCACACUGGGGAAGUUCUGCUCUUUACACAAUGGGAACAAUGCACGUUAGAUGACUGUGAGACCCUGACAUUUAUUCCGUGAACUUUAGUAGAAAAUGUCAAAUACUGAAAAUGUCAGACACCUCCCUCACAUGCAGGUUUCUACAGUAGGGGAGAGCGGGGUAAAUUGAGCCAAAGGGAUUAGUUGAGCCACCCCUUGUUUCUGGGAAACCAUACACAAAAUGAAUCAUGUGACCAAAUAUUUAGGAAGAGGUCAUAAUUUCAUGGAGUCUGUGAAGGAAGAAAACACAUGGAAAAAGUGGUAAGCAAGUUAGGUCAUUUUAAAAACAAAACUGAUUUUCACAAAGUCAAUUCAAUAUUGUGUUAUAUUGUGUUAUAGGUUUCAUGAUGCUUGUAUCUAAACCAAAGUAGAUGUACAUCGGUUGGGGUCUCUAUAAGCUACAAUAUGAGGUUCUAAACCUAGCAUGAAUGUCCAUUUUUGUAGCUGUGUGGGCCAAUAUAGUCAAAAUGUUUGUCUUGGGGUAAGUUGAGUUGGGGUGGGAUAAGAUUUGAAUCCCGAGCCAACUAGGUGAAAAAAUCUGCCGAAGUGCUAUUGAGCAAGGCACUUAACCCUAAUUGCUCUUGUAAGCCGCUCUGGAUAAGAGUGUCUGCUAAAUGUUAAAAAUGUGAAAUGGAAGGGUAAUUGAUAUUGAACAGAGAGAUCUAUAUCCGAAUGUUGGUCGACAUUUAUGAUGUGCAAUAUACCACAACCCCAUUCCAUUAAUUUGCAUUUGACCAACCAACACCACAUCAACCACUGUCACAGGACACCAUCACCCACUUACCCCAAGGCAGCUCAACUUACCCUGUCCCUAUGCUCAACUUACCUCAUACCUGGGGUAAGUUGUUUCAAGAGAACACCUUUUUUGGACAAGCUAUAUUUUCAAAACGGUCAUGUUUACAUAAAUUCAGAUUAUUUCCAGGGAUAUUCAACAUCAUGAAAUGUAUGUACAGUAGAAAUCUUUGUUAGAAAGAAUACUAUAUUUCCAGUAGGGAAGCUGAAUAUAAAGAAUGUCUCAACGUACCUCACUCUCCCCUAGCUAUUCUUUAUUCAGGGUUGAAAACUGUAAUGUUCCACACAAGAAACAAAUUCUAAGUUGUAAUUUAUUGGUUUUUAUUCCACCCAAAUUCUGCAUAACUACAUCCAACUGCAUUCUGUAUGACAUGAUUCAAACUGCUGUGCCUUCAGAAACCUCAGGGGCCUGUCUUCACAUUCCACCUCAGAAAUGUGUCUGAUGAAAGAUGCAUCAGCAGUGCAUCAACUUGUGUCAACUCAUUCGUUAUGUUCCUUUUGACUGUUUUUAAUCAAUCAUAUUUUCUAUUCAUUAGCUUGAAAUAUGGGUGAACAUACCAAUGAUAUUAUUUGAAACAAACGGGAGUACCUUUUGUCUUUUAGCGAUACAAGUGAUAAUGAUGAUGAUUCCAAGCACCAACCAAAUUGUUUGUGCUCGACAAAGGCCAAGAUGUUAAAUGUAUAGGCUACAUUAUGAUUCCUUUUCAAGUCUCAUCCACAUUGUUGAGUGAAACUUUAUUGUGAGUCAAAUCUGGUAGAGGAAUUUUUUACAAAUGUAUGAGUAGAGGUGAAAAGGAAGGUAGUGUUACAGAGCACAUCAUAUAGAUUCUCAAAAGGUAUUUGCGUUUCAGCUUUUUAAAAUGUCAUCAUAUUUCCUGUGGAAUAAAUAGGCUUAAACUUUUGGAACUACAUCUCCCAAAAAUAAUUGAUUCAUCAUUUUGUAGAAAAAUAGUCAAAUAACAUUUGUCAAACUGGGUAGCAACAGUUGAGAUCCAUUUAAAGACACCUACCCAGUCAAACGAAUGGACUAGAUACUGACUUUGCAUUUGCGUCAUUAUCAUUGAGUAUAGCUCAACAAAAAAAAAAAAAAAACCUAAUAUUUCAAAUAUGAAUAUUGCAUGCUUAACAAAGUCUUCACAUUGAUACUGCAGUUUUGUAGAGCCAGGUCAUCUAAGCAAGUACUAUGUUCAUCUAAUCCAUACUAAACUAAUGUCGUACCUACAUUGUGAUAGACCAAACUGUAUUUUCUAUUUCCUAUUAUAUCACAUUGAUUAGACCUUAUUCUGUUACUAUUUCGGAAGUGUGAAAGCUUUUCCAACGCUAUGUCAUUAUCAGAUAUGCAAUGUCAGCGCAGUAAUACACAUCGCCCAAUCUGGUAACAUGUUUUGGUGGCUGUUGAUCUACACCUAACUGUACUGAUGAACUGAACUAGUAGCAUGUACAGUACAUGGUAAAGGGCCCUAGCCGUCACGUUUUCCUUGUUUUGAGAUCCUGAAAACUCAGUAAAUACUAGUAAAACAUAGAAUUAGCCAUCAUUUUGCUUAUGUUAUGACCGAGUGAGUAAUUUUGCAUAUACCAGCAUAUGCACCGACAUGAAUACAUUCGAAAUGUGCUAUUUGUUUUACACUAUGUGUAUUGGUACCCUUUGACAAAUUAGAAAAUAGGAUUGAAAGCAAUCUGACCAUCCUUCAAAUAAAAAAUGCAGUAAAGCAAGUCAACUUCUAAAGAAAAUGGUGUCAAAAUAUACAAGAAAAUCUCUCGCUCUCGCUCUGUCUCUCACGGCUGGCAUAAGUCUCUUCAAUAAUGAAUGUCUUCACGUUACAUAAUAUAUUUAAUCAACACACCUGUGGCCCAUCCGACACCCAUCUUCUUUACUACUCUGUCCAGUGAAAAGGAUAGGACCCAAUAUAAGUCAAAAUCUCCAAAUACAAAACCGUAUCACGUGAAGAACUAUUGUAAGAUCAUUUGUGUGCGGCAAUAUACGACUCUAUUCAUCUUUUCAUAAUCGUGGUCAGUAGACAAACGUCAUAAACAUAUGAAUGACAGAACAGGUGACAGUUGUUUUUUUUUUUUUACUGUAAUCUGAUUGGGUAAAGGUCAUGAGUACAUUUGAAAAAUACAGAAUGACAUAGCCACUCACACCAAAGCCUUUCUUCCCACGUUUUUUUUCUUAUUUUUUUCCUCUUUUGCCUUUUAAUAAGGUGAGCGCACAAUAUACACUCACUCAAUUAUUUCCCCCUUUUAAAAAGAAGUAAAGCAUGAAAGUAAACGACAAAGCACACAAAUAUCCAACAACUGAAACUGAGAGACUAAGUUUUUUUUUUUAAAUACACACAAACCACCAGUAGUAGGUACAAGUCUUCUGUCCAUUAAGGAAUUUGGAGAAUCAAAAAGCACAGUUAGUUAGUCCAGCUUUGCCAGCCCUGUCGUUGGAUGGUGUGGACCAGGGUAGAGGUUGUAUGUGGCACUACCAUGGGGGAUAGUGCUGCUGUACUCUAGUCUAGGCCAUCCUCUGCUGGCUGGUGGCAGUUGACAUGGAGGCUGUGAGGUCUGGGAGACCUGGGGCUCAGAGAGCAGAGCAGAGAGGGCCUGGCUGGGCUGAGGAGGCAGGCCAGGGGCCAGUAGCCAGUAGCCAGGGCCAGGGGUGAAGGGCAGGGCGGGGUGCUCGAGUCCAGGGGUACUCAAUGUGAGGGAGGGAGGCCCUACUGCCUAACCAAAAUGACACCUAGA